RNAcentral lists this ribosomal RNA (1347 nucleotides) under uncultured bacterium. Its description in RNAcentral is "bacterial SSU rRNA". It matches the Rfam family "Bacterial small subunit ribosomal RNA", at positions 28 to 1381 of the family's 1533-position model. The record is from RNAcentral.
GACGAACGCUGGCGGCGUGCUUAACACAUGCAAGUCGAACGAUGAAGCCUAGCUUGCUAGGUGGAUUAGUGGCGAACGGGUGAGCAAUACGUGAGUAACCUACCUUUAACUCUGGGAUAAGCCUGGGAAACUGGGUCUAAUACCGGAUACGACCAAUCUCCGCAUGGGGUGUUGGCGGAAAGCGUUAUGUAGUGGUUAUAGAUGGGCUCACGGCCUAUCAGCUUGUUGGUGAGGUAACGGCUCACCAAGGCGACGACGGGUAGCCGGCCUGAGAGGGUGACCGGCCACACUGGGACUGAGACACGGCCCAGACUCCUACGGGAGGCAGCAGUGGGGAAUAUUGCACAAUGGGCGCAAGCCUGAUGCAGCGACGCCGCGUGAGGGAUGACGGCCUUCGGGUUGUAAACCUCUGUUAGCAGGGAAGAAGAGAGAUUGACGGUACCUGCAGAGAAAGCGCCGGCUAACUACGUGCCAGCAGCCGCGGUAAUACGUAGGGCGCGAGCGUUGUCCGGAAUUAUUGGGCGUAAAGAGCUUGUAGGCGGUUUGUCGCGUCUGCUGUGAAGGCCGGGGCUUAACCCCGUGUAUUGCAGUGGGUACGGGCAGACUAGAGUGCAGUAGGGGAGACUGGAAUUCCUGGUGUAGCGGUGGAAUGCGCAGAUAUCAGGAGGAACACCGAUGGCGAAGGCAGGUCUCUGGGCUGUAACUGACGCUGAGAAGCGAAAGCAUGGGGAGCGAACAGGAUUAGAUACCCUGGUAGUCCAUGCCGUAAACGUUGGGCACUAGGUGUGGGGGACAUUCCACGUUUUCCGCGCCGUAGCUAACGCAUUAAGUGCCCCGCCUGGGGAGUACGGCCGCAAGGCUAAAACUCAAAGAAAUUGACGGGGGCCCGCACAAGCGGCGGAGCAUGCGGAUUAAUUCGAUGCAACGCGAAGAACCUUACCAAGGCUUGACAUAUACUGGACCGCAUCAGAGAUGGUGUUUCCCUUCGGGGCUGGUAUACAGGUGGUGCAUGGUUGUCGUCAGCUCGUGUCGUGAGAUGUUGGGUUAAGUCCCGCAACGAGCGCAACCCUCGUUCUAUGUUGCCAGCACGUUAUGGUGGGGACUCAUAGGAGACUGCCGGGGUCAACUCGGAGGAAGGUGGGGAUGACGUCAAAUCAUCAUGCCCCUUAUGUCUUGGGCUUCACGCAUGCUACAAUGGCCGGUACAGAGGGUUGCGAUACUGUGAGGUGGAGCUAAUCCCUAAAAGCCGGUCUCAGUUCGGAUUGGGGUCUGCAACUCGACCCCAUGAAGUCGGAGUCGCUAGUAAUCGCAGAUCAGCAACGCUGCGGUGAAUACGUUCCCGGGCCU